This 28-nucleotide non-coding RNA is filed under the name Homo sapiens (human). The record is from RNAcentral. Lineage: Eukaryota; Metazoa; Chordata; Mammalia; Primates; Hominidae.
UGUAGUAAUACCGUCCUCUCCCUCCGUG